This 67-nucleotide transfer RNA is filed under the name Marmota monax (woodchuck). RNAcentral describes it as "tRNA.Ala". It matches the Rfam family "tRNA", at positions 6 to 65 of the family's 71-position model. From Rfam's summary of the family: Transfer RNA (tRNA) molecules are approximately 80 nucleotides in length. Lineage: Eukaryota; Metazoa; Chordata; Mammalia; Rodentia; Sciuridae. The record is from RNAcentral.
GGCUGUAGCUCAGUGGUAGAUCGCUUGCCUAGCACGUAUGAGGCACUGGGUUCGAUUCUCAGCACCA